Molecule: ribosomal RNA, 253 nt
Filed under: uncultured bacterium
Lineage: Bacteria
Description: partial 16S ribosomal RNA
Rfam family: Bacterial small subunit ribosomal RNA
Source: RNAcentral
UACGUAGGUGGCAAGCGUUAUCCGGAUUUAUUGGGUGUAAAGGGCGUGUAGGCGGGAGCGCAAGUCAGGUGUGAAAACUCAGGGCUCAACCCUGAGCCUGCAUUUGAAACUGUGUUUCUUGAGUGCUGGAGAGGCAAUCGGAAUUCCGUGUGUAGCGGUGAAAUGCGUAGAUAUACGGAGGAACACCAGUGGCGAAGGCGGAUUGCUGGACAGUAACUGACGCUGGGGCGCGAAAGCGUGGGGAGCAAACAGG